UACAACUUUCAGCAACGGAUCUCUUGGCUCUCGCAUCGAUGAAGGACGCAGGAAUCGCGAUAAGUAAUGUGAAUUGCAGAUUUUCCGUGAAUCAUCGAAUCUUUGAACGCACCUUGCGCUCCUUGGUAUUCCGAGGAGCAUGCCUGUUUGAGUGUCAUCGAAAA
This 164-nucleotide ribosomal RNA is filed under the name Pisolithus albus. Its description in RNAcentral is "5.8S ribosomal RNA". It matches the Rfam family "5.8S ribosomal RNA". From Rfam's summary of the family: 5.8S ribosomal RNA (5.8S rRNA) is a component of the large subunit of the eukaryotic ribosome. It is transcribed by RNA polymerase I as part of the 45S precursor that also contains 18S and 28S rRNA. The record is from RNAcentral. Lineage: Eukaryota; Fungi; Basidiomycota; Agaricomycetes; Boletales; Pisolithaceae.